AUGGAUGUCCGAGGAAUCACUCAUUCGUCUCCCAGCCUUCUGUGCCAUGUCGCCAAACUAAAGUGGAUUUGCGAGAACAGUUCUUAUUUCGUUUUCCCCGUCCUCUUCCACAAGGCCAUAUUUGUGGUUGAAGUUGAUUUUAUGGUUGCUCAAAGUUCUGGAGCGAGCUGGAUGGAUUUUGAAUUGGUUCCUUUCCAUCAUACAUGGCUCGUGGUUCAAGUUUUAAGGUGUUAUAUGCUACAUGGAUUAGCUGCCUCACCCUCUGAACUUUUUAGCUCGGGUAGCGGGGAAGACACCCGCGCCAAUGGCCGUGCGGAACUCGCUGCCUGCGGCCACGCAUCCACUUGCAACCGGGCUGUGGGCGAGCCUGCUAUCACAGUCCUCGGAGGGUUCUGGCCACACUGGUCCCUGCAUGUGCACCCGCUGGGCGCGGCCUAG
RNAcentral lists this ribosomal RNA (438 nucleotides) under Triticum aestivum (bread wheat). RNAcentral describes it as "partial small subunit ribosomal RNA". The record is from RNAcentral. Lineage: Eukaryota; Viridiplantae; Streptophyta; Magnoliopsida; Poales; Poaceae.